GAUGAACGCUGGCGGCGUGCUUAACACAUGCAAGUCGAACGGGAUCCAAGGGGUGCUUGCACUUUUUGGUGAGAGUGGCGAACGGGUGAGUAACACGUGAGUAACCUGUCCUUUUCUUUGGGAUAAGCAUUCGAAAGGGUGUUUAAUACCUUAUGUUCUGUCUGCCUCGCAUGGGGUGGGUGGGAAAGGCUUUGGCCGGAUUUGGGUGGGCUCGCGGUCUAUCAGCUUGUUGGUGGGGUGAUGGCUUACCAGGGCUUUGACGGGUAGCCGGCCUGAGAGGGUGGUCGGUCACAUUGGGACUGAGAUACGGCCCAGACUCCUGCGGGAGGCAGCAGUGGGGGAUAUUGCACAAUGGGCGAAAGCCUGAUGCAGCGACGCCGCGUGGGGGAUGAAGGCCUUCGGGUUGUAAACUUCUUUUGCUCUGAACAAGGCAUGCCAGUGGGUGUGUUGAGUGUAGGGGUUGAUUAGCGCCGGCUAACUACGUG
Molecule: ribosomal RNA, 485 nt
Filed under: uncultured bacterium
Lineage: Bacteria
Description: partial 16S ribosomal RNA
Rfam family: Bacterial small subunit ribosomal RNA
Source: RNAcentral